This 1015-nucleotide long non-coding RNA is filed under the name Gallus gallus (chicken). RNAcentral describes it as "long non-coding RNA NONGGAT002905". The record is from RNAcentral. Lineage: Eukaryota; Metazoa; Chordata; Aves; Galliformes; Phasianidae.
CAGGACUACUGAGAUGCUGUGCAAGUGCUCAAUGAACAAUCUGCUGCUGGCCUUCUGGUCUCCUGAUCUGCGUAAGUGAGCAGGAGGCAGACUACCUGGACACCUACAACUGUAGCUGUGCAUGUAGCACCACAGGGGAAUGGAGAUGUACCCUCAGCCCUGGAAGACCUGGAUUCGUCAAGACCUUGAGAAGAGCUUUUCCAAAUUUACACUGGGGCUAAAUAUACUGUUACUGGCCAGAGCCAUCCCUCAAAUACACUCUUUCUUGGGGAAAAAAAAAACAAACACAAAACCUCUUUGAGUAGCAGGAUUCUGGAUAGGAUUCUCCGGCUCUCAGCCAUUAAAGCAAAAAAGACAGGAACUAUAAUCAGUGUAAUUAUCUAGGUCUGACAUGAAGCCCCCCCCAGUCCCUGCAGUACUGCUCCCUCCUGGGCUUCCAGGCUGAAACAUAAGUAACAGUGCACACCGUUAGAUAGGAAAGGAACAGAAAAACAGGAAGCCAAGACCACGCUCAGGGCUAUUGAUUCUGUGGCCAGGUGUGAACCUGGCCCGUCAUCCCCUCCAGCUCCUUGGCACUCCAUGGAGAUAGGUGGGAGGAAGCAGCAGGAUCCACCACACCAGUCCCCAGCUGGUCAUGCACUGAAUGGUGCCCCUCAAACAGACUGAUGAAUAGCCCAUUGCUCUGUCCCUCUGCAUCACCUUCAUCUGGCUUUCAUCAAAAAGAAAACAAAAUAGAAAUGAACACACGCAACCCCCACACUCACAGUGGGAAGCUUCACUCAGCCUGGACGUCUCCUGCCCCAGCUGCUCAGGCACCGGGGGUACCUGCCUGCCCCAUGAGCGGGCCACUGCCAUCAUGUGUGUCCUCCACAGGUGUCUGGUUAGUGUGAACCACAAUUGUGUUCUCAUCUACGAGCUCACAGGCAGGAUUGGUGAACGCUGAGAGUGGCAGUGUGAUGCGCUGCAUUUCACGCUCAUAAACUUUCUGCUCGUGCUUCUCCUUCAGGUCUUUUCC